GGGAGAAAGCAGGGGACCUUCGGGCCUUGCGCUAUCAGAUGAGCCUAGGUCGGAUUAGCUAGUUGGUGGGGUAAUGGCUCACCAAGGCGACGAUCCGCAACUGGUCUGAGAGGAUGAUCAGUCACACUGGAACUGAGACACGGUCCAGACUCCUACGGGAGGCAGCAGUGGGGAAUAUUGGACAAUGGGCGAAAGCCUGAUCCAGCCAUGCCGCGUGUGUGAAGAAGGUCUUCGGAUUGUAAAGCACUUUAAGUUGGGAGGAAGGGCAGUAAAUUAAUACUUUGCUGUUUUGACGUUACCGACAGAAUAAGCACCGGCUAACUCUGUGCCAGCAGCCGCGGUAAUACAGAGGGUGCAAGCGUUAAUCGGAAUUACUGGGCGUAAGGCGCGCGUAGGUGGUUCGUUAAGUUGGAUGUGAAAUCCCCGGGCUCAACCUGGGAACUGCAUUCAAAACUGACGAGCUAGAGUAUGGUAGAGGGUGGUGGAAUUUCCUGUGUAGCGGUGAAAUGCGUAGAUAUAGGAAGGAACACCAGUGGCGAAGGCGACCACCU
RNAcentral lists this ribosomal RNA (551 nucleotides) under uncultured Pseudomonas sp. RNAcentral describes it as "bacterial SSU rRNA". It matches the Rfam family "Bacterial small subunit ribosomal RNA", at positions 198 to 730 of the family's 1533-position model. The record is from RNAcentral. Lineage: Bacteria; Pseudomonadati; Pseudomonadota; Gammaproteobacteria; Pseudomonadales; Pseudomonadaceae.